This is a long non-coding RNA of Mustela erminea (ermine), 540 nucleotides long. RefSeq lists it as uncharacterized. The transcript has 3 exons. NCBI's taxonomy places the organism in Eukaryota, Metazoa, Chordata, Mammalia, Carnivora, Mustelidae. The record is from RefSeq and is a predicted model, not a curated record.
UUGUUAUAGGAGGAGGUAGUUGAGAGGACGUGACUGCCAGUUGACCCACAAACUGGACCUGGACAAUUAGCGGCUCCUAACCUGCUCCCCUAUUGUUGGAAUGUACAUUCUGUUCACCAUUCUCACAGUAGGAGCUGUUUUCAAGGAUGCAACCUUGAGAGAGCAGUGUGGUAGGAGCUGUUUUCAAGGAUGCAGCCUUGAGAGAGCAGUGUGUUGCUGAGUCGAUCUGGAAGGAAUAUGUGAGUGAUGCAGUUAACUAAAUAAACUUGUAAGGCUCUGAUGGUUGGUUGCAGAGAUUUACUCAUCCUUUGACUGCCCAGGACAAGUCUUACAUGUUAAAAAAAAAAGUGAAGCCAAUGGAAAACUACAACAAACCAAUCCAGGCAGGACUACUAAUGGCCCACACCCUUCAGGAAUGAAAGAGUUACCCUGCCUGCUAAAGAACAAUGACCAGCUGAGGAGACCUAUCUGGAAAGAAGUUGCUGAGGUGAAGUCAAAGAAGUUACUUCCUGGGUUCUCUUCAGGAUUUUUAUGGUUUAU